This is a long non-coding RNA of Pongo pygmaeus (Bornean orangutan), 962 nucleotides long. RefSeq lists it as uncharacterized. The transcript has 3 exons. Lineage: Eukaryota; Metazoa; Chordata; Mammalia; Primates; Hominidae. The record is from RefSeq and is a predicted model, not a curated record.
CAGUGUGGAAGCUUUGUUCUUUCGCUCUUUGCAAUAAAUCUUGCUACUGCUCACUCUUUGCGUGCACACUGCUUUUAUGAGCUGUAACUCACCGCAAAGGUCUGCAGCUUCACUCCUGAAGCCAGCGAGCCCAGGAGCCCACCAGGAGAAACCAACAACUCUAGAUGCGCCGCCUUAAGAGCUGUAAUGCUCACCGCGAAGGUCUGCAGCGUCACUCCUGAGCCAGCGAGACCACGAACCCACCAGAAGGAAGAAACUCCGAACACAUCCGAACGUCAGAAGGAACAAACUCCAGACGCGCCACCUUAAGAGCUGUAAUACUCACCGCGAGGGUCCGCGGCUUCAUUCUUGAAGUCAGUGAGACCAAGAACCCACCAAUUCUGGACACAAUGUGACUAGUUCUUGCCAAUGCAGUGUGAGCGAAGCAGUGUGUCAUUUCUAGGCCAAGGCAGGAGGGGGGUUUAAUCUGGACUGAAUUGGAGGAAAGGAACUGGCACCAGAGUGGAGGCUGGAAGGAUGGUGGAACUGACACUGGGACAGAACACAGAAAACAGAAUAUAAUGCUAUUGCUCUGGCUGUAUCAAAUAAAAGUGUCAAGAGUGAGCAUCCUUGCAUUGUGCUGAAUCACAGAGGAAUACCUUUCAAUUUUUCUCCAUUGACUAUGAUAGCAGUGGGCUUUUCACAUGUGGGCUUUACUGUGUUGAGGUAAGUUCCUUCUGUACCUAUUUUGUUGAGUUUUUAUCAUAAAUGAUGUUGAUUUGGUCAAAUGCUUUUUCUGCAUCUGUUGAAAUGGUCAUGUGGUUUUUAUCUUUCAUUUUGUUAAUAUGAUGUAGCACAUUGAUUGAUUUGCAUAUAUUAAACCAGCCUUGCAUCCCAGGAAUAAAUUCCAAUUGUUCAUGGUGUAUAAUCUUUUUGAUGUGUUGUUGAAAACAGUUUGCUAAUAUUUUAUUAAAAUUUUUGCA